AAGACUAUAGACCUGCGGAGUACCUGCGGAAGGAUCAUUAACGCGCCGUGGAGGUUGCCUUUAAACAGGUCUGACCUUCCACCUGGCCACCCUUGUUUAUCUUUAACCUGUUGCUUUGGUGGGCCCGCUGCAAGGCCGCUGGAGAAUUUAAAAGUUUUCUGGCCCGUGCCCACCAAGGUCCUAGUGAACUCUUUGUUAAUUUUCUGCUGUCUGAGCAUUAAAAGAAACAAUUUUUAAAAC
RNAcentral lists this unclassified non-coding RNA (240 nucleotides) under soil metagenome. Its description in RNAcentral is "partial contains 5.8S ribosomal RNA, internal transcribed spacer 2, and large subunit ribosomal RNA". The record is from RNAcentral.